AUCCUGUUGUAGCUCAUGAGCGUGAUAAUUGGGUGUUCAUGUGCGUGUGUGAGAUGUGCCACCCUCUGAACCUUGUUACGACAUUGGCACAUUACCUGUCUGACC
Small nucleolar RNA from Homo sapiens (human), 105 nucleotides. Lineage: Eukaryota; Metazoa; Chordata; Mammalia; Primates; Hominidae. The record is from Ensembl.